This is a long non-coding RNA of Centrocercus urophasianus (Greater sage-grouse), 785 nucleotides long. RefSeq lists it as uncharacterized. Lineage: Eukaryota; Metazoa; Chordata; Aves; Galliformes; Phasianidae. The record is from RefSeq and is a predicted model, not a curated record. The transcript has 3 exons.
ACUGGCAUUUAAAUCUGGCUUACAAUGCUUGCUAUUGAAUUUUUUUUAAGUGUUCUCUCACCGCAUAUUUUCGUCUUAAACAGUGAUACUGAAGGAAGCUUACCAUGGGUUGGCUGUCUGCUCACAGCUUCUGCAAGGCAGGUGCUCAGUUCUUUGCAGGGUCCAAGUUGUUCCUGCUUCCUGUUGCUCUGGCACACAGACUCCACAUAAAGAUGACAGAAGAGCUCCGAAUGUAUUACAGUAAAGGAGAUCAGUCUCUGAUCUUUCACAUCUUCACUGUAAAACAAGUCUGAAAUCUCCUGAGGAGCUGUAUGUGUGGUUGGUUGUCUGUGGAAAAUGCCAUGUCGUCAUUUGAAAGUAUGUCAUUUGCCAGGGCUGGCACAGGUGUACUUUUGCAAGACUGUUGGCAUACUUGUGCCUCCUUCACCAUGGAAACAGAAGAGGAAUUAUCCUAAAUUUGCCCAGGCAGAAUUAUGCUCUACAACUGAACAGUUUGAACACAACUACUGAAUGCUAAUCUAAUCUUUUUCAUACAUCUCAUUCAAGCCUCAGCAGCAGAUAUCUUUGCUGCACAUUACCCUGGAGAACUUCUGGCAUCACUUAAAGCAGAGCUCACACCUUGCGCCUUAGCUGUAUCUUUAUGGCACUAAAAGGUGCAAAUCAGAUUGUGUAUCUUAUCCAGCUGCCAAUUUUUCAUUAGUUGUCCAUAUUUCUUCUGUUUCUGCCAAAGAUGCUGCAGUUUCAUCUCACUUGCAUGCAUUUUGGUUGCAUCGAGCUCCUCAACA